GAGACAGAGAAGUUUGGCUGUGUUGGGGUGUGCACUCUGCAGCGAAGCCGGUGAGAGCUAGUAGGAGUGGGUGGCAGAGUGAGAGGUGAUUGGAGGAAGGGAGUCAUGGGUGGGGCCCAUUGUGUCAGCCAAAGUGACAAA
Molecule: long non-coding RNA, 141 nt
Organism: Juglans microcarpa x Juglans regia
Lineage: Eukaryota; Viridiplantae; Streptophyta; Magnoliopsida; Fagales; Juglandaceae
Exons: 2
Source: RefSeq, a predicted model, not a curated record